This 519-nucleotide ribosomal RNA is filed under the name uncultured Glomus. RNAcentral's name for it is "SSU rRNA". It matches the Rfam family "Eukaryotic small subunit ribosomal RNA", at positions 569 to 1092 of the family's 1831-position model. Lineage: Eukaryota; Fungi; Glomeromycota; Glomeromycetes; Glomerales; Glomeraceae. The record is from RNAcentral.
AGCAGCCGCGGUAAUUCCAGCUCCAAUAGCGUAUAUUAAAGUUGUUGCAGUUAAAAAGCUCGUAGUUGAAUUUCGGGAUCAAUAUGUUGGUCGUGCCUCGGUACGUACUAGCUUAUUGGUUUCUCCUUUCUGAAGAACCAUGAUGUCCAUUUAUUUGGUGUCGUGGGGAAUCAGGACUGUUACUUUGAAAAAUUAGAGUGUUUAAAGCAGGCUCACGCUUGAAUACAUUAGCAUGGAAUAAUGAAAUAGGACGUUUGAUUCUAUUUUGUUGGUUUCUAGGAUCGACGUAAUGAUUAAUAGGGAUAGUUGGGGGCAUUAGUAUUCAAUUGUCAGAGGUGAAAUUCUUGGAUUUAUUGAAGACUAACUACUGCGAAAGCAUUUGCCAAGGAUGUUUUCAUUAAUCAAGAACGAAAGUUAGGGGAUCGAAGACGAUCAGAUACCGUCGUAGUCUUAACCAUAAACUAUGCCGACUAGGGAUCGGAUGAUGUUAAUUUUUAAUGACUCAUUCGGCGCCUUAAC